ACGAACGCUGGCGGCGUGCUUAACACAUGCAAGUCGAACGGUGAAGCGCCUUCCUUUUUGGUGGGUGUGGAUGAGUGGCGAACGGGUGAGUAACACGUGAGUAACCUGCCCCCUUCUUCUGGAUAACCGCAUGAAAGUGUGGCUAAUACGGGAUAUUCUGGGUCUGUCGCAUGAUGGGUCUGGGAAAGAUAUUGUUUCGGUGGGGGAUGGGCUCGCGGCCUAUCAGCUUGUUGGUGGGGUGAUGGCCUACCAAGGCGGUGACGGGUAGCCGGCCUGAGAGGGUGGACGGUCACACUGGGACUGAGACACGACCCAGACUCCUACGGGAGGCAGCAGUGGGGAAUAGUGCACAAUGGGCGCAAGCCUGAUGCAGCGACGCCGCGUGAGGGAUGGAGGCCUUCGGGUUGUGAACCUCUUUCGCCAGUGAAGCAGGCCUGCCUCGUUUGUGGGUGGGUUGACGGUAGCUGGAUAAGAAGCGCCGGCUAACUACGUG
This 493-nucleotide ribosomal RNA is filed under the name uncultured bacterium. RNAcentral describes it as "partial 16S ribosomal RNA". It matches the Rfam family "Bacterial small subunit ribosomal RNA", at positions 29 to 507 of the family's 1533-position model. The record is from RNAcentral.